UUCACCAGGGAAUUGGUGGGGAGAAAGGAGGGAAGGGGGAGAGAGAGGCUAAUUUCUCUCUGUGUUAGGAUUACUGUCUCUCUCAGGGAGAGUCUGGGAGGGGGAGAGAGAAGGAGGGGGGAAGGUGCAUUUUCCUCUCUGUUUUAAGAUUCAAGGAGUUUGAAUCACAGUGAUCUUCCAGAGUAACCCAGGGAGGGGAAGCCUGGGAGAGGCAACGGUGAGGGAAAGGGUUUACUUUCCUUGUGUUAAGAUCCAGAGGGUCUGGGUCUUGGGGGUCCCCGGGCAAGGUUUUGGCGGGACCAGAGAGUGUACCAGGCACUGGAAUUCCUGGUUGGUGGCAGCACUACAAGUUCUAAGCUGGUAAUUGAGCUUAGAGGAAUUCAUGCUGGUACCCCAUCUUUUGGACGCUAAGG
Long non-coding RNA from Gopherus flavomarginatus (Mexican gopher tortoise), 413 nucleotides. RefSeq lists it as uncharacterized. The record is from RefSeq and is a predicted model, not a curated record. Lineage: Eukaryota; Metazoa; Chordata; Testudines; Testudinidae. The transcript has 3 exons.